Molecule: transfer RNA, 141 nt
Filed under: Citrobacter portucalensis
Lineage: Bacteria; Pseudomonadati; Pseudomonadota; Gammaproteobacteria; Enterobacterales; Enterobacteriaceae
Description: tRNA-OTHER
Source: RNAcentral
GGGUCGUUAGCUCAGUUGGUAAAUCCUGCACGACCCACCAAUCGUUCUGGUGGAACGCGAUAGUAAAACGUGAAGGAUAACGUUGCGUAAGCAACGGCCCGUAGGGCGAGACGAAGUCGAGUCAUCCUGCACGACCCACCA